GGCCAAGUUUUUAAGGGCGCACGGUGGAUGCCUUGGCACCAGGAACCGAUGAAGGACGUGGGAGGCCACGAUAGGCCCCGGGGAGCUGUCAACCGAGCUUUGAUCCGGGGGUGUCCGAAUGGGGAAACCCGGCAGUCGUCAUGGGCUGUCACCCGCUGCUGAACACAUAGGCAGUGUGGAGGGAACGCGGGGAAGUGAAACAUCUCAGUACCCGCAGGAAGAGAAAACAACCGUGAUUCCGGGAGUAGUGGCGAGCGAAACUGGAUGAGGCCAAACCAGUCACGUGUGAUACCCGGCAGGGGUUGCGUGGUUGGGGUUGUGGGAUCUCUCUUUGCAGUCUGCCGGCUGUGAGGCGAGUCAGAAACCGUUGAUGUAGGCGAAGGACAUGCGAAAGGUCCGGCGUAGAGGGUAAGACCCCCGUAGCUGAAACAUUAGCGGCUCGUUUGAGAGACACCCAAGUAGCACGGGGCCCGAGAAAUCCCGUGUGAAUCUGGCGGGACCACCCGUUAAGCCUAAAUAUUCCCUGGUGACCGAUAGCGGAUAGUACCGUGAGGGAAUGGUGAAAAGUACCGCGGGAGCGGAGUGAAAUAGUACCUGAAACCGUGUGCCUACAAGCCGUGGGAGCGUCGCUGGUGAGUUUACUCAUCAGUCGUGACUGCGUGCCUUUUGAAGAAUGAGCCUGCGAGUUUGCGGUAUGUUGCGAGGUUAACCCGUGUGGGGAAGCCGUAGCGAAAGCGAGUCCGAAUAGGGCGUGGAGUAGCAUGCUCAAGACCCGAAGCGGAGUGAUCUAGCCAUGGGCAGGUUGAAGCGGAGGUAAGACUUCGUGGAGGACCGAACCCACCAGGGUUGAAAACCUGGGGGAUGACCUGUGGUUAGGGGUGAAAGGCCAAUCAAACUCCGUGAUAGCUGGUUCUCCCCGAAAUGCAUUUAGGUGCAGCGUCGUGUGUUUCUUGCCGGAGGUAGAGCACUGGAUAGGCGAUGGGCCCUACCGGGUUACUGACCUUAGCCAAACUCCGAAUGCCGGUAAGUGAGAGCGCGGCAGUGAGACUGUGGGGGAUAAGCUCCAUGGUCGAGAGGGAAACAGCCCAGAGCAUCGACUAAGGCCCCUAAGCGUGUGCUAAGUGGGAAAGGAUGUGGAGUCGCAGAGACAACCAGGAGGUUGGCUUAGAAGCAGCCACCCUUGAAAGAGUGCGUAAUAGCUCACUGGUCAAGUGAUUCCGCGCCGACAAUGUAGCGGGGCUCAAGUACACCGCCGAAGUCGUGUCAUUGCGAUAUUACUCCUAACGGGGAUCGUGAUGGGUAGGGGAGCGUCGUGUGCCGGGUGAAGCAGCCGUGGAAACGAGUUGUGGACGGUUCACGAGUGAGAAUGCAGGCAUGAGUAGCGAUACAAGAGUGGGAAACUCUUGCGCCGAUUGACUAAGGGUUCCUGGGUCAAGCUGAUCUGCCCAGGGUAAGUCGGGACCUAAGGCGAGGCCGACAGGCGUAGUCGAUGGACAACCGGUUGAUAUUCCGGUACCCGCUUUGAAGCGCCCAAUACUGAAUCAGGCGAUGCUAAGUCCGUGAAGCCGCCCUGGAGCCUUCGGGCAAAGGGGAGUGGUGGAGCCGACGGACCAGACUUGUAGUAGGUAAGCGAUGGGGUGACGCAGGAAGGUAGUCCAGCCCGGGCGGUGGUUGUCCCGGGGUAAGGGUGUAGGCCGUGUGGUAGGUAAAUCCGUCGCACGUUAAGGCUGAGACCUGAUGCCGAGCCGAUUGUGGUGAAGUGGAUGAUCCUAUGCUGUCGAGAAAAGCCUCUAGUGAGUUUCAAGGCGGCCCGUACCCUAAACCGACUCAGGUGGUCAGGUAGAGAAUACCGAGGCGUUCGGGUGAACUAUGGUUAAGGAACUCGGCAAAAUGCCCCCGUAACUUCGGGAGAAGGGGGCCAUUUCUGGUGAGGGAACUUGCUUCCUGAGCUGGGGGUGGCCGCAGAGACCAGCGAGAAGCGACUGUUUACUAAAAACACAGGUCCGUGCGAAGCCGUAAGGCGAUGUAUACGGACUGACGCCUGCCCGGUGCUGGAACGUUAAGGGGACCGGUUAGCUUGGAUUCGUUCAGGCGAAGCUGAGAACUUAAGCGCCAGUAAACGGCGGUGGUAACUAUAACCAUCCUAAGGUAGCGAAAUUCCUUGUCGGGUAAGUUCCGACCUGCACGAAUGGCGUAACGACUUCUCGACUGUCUCAACCAUAGGCCCGGUGAAAUUGCAUUACGAGUAAAGAUGCUCGUUUCGCGCAGCAGGACGGAAAGACCCCGGGACCUUUACUAUAGCUUGAUAUUGGUGUUCGGUUCGGCUUGUGUAGGAUAGGUGGGAGACUGUGAAGCGCCAACGCCAGUUGGUGUGGAGUCGUUGUUGAAAUACCACUCUGGUCGUGCUGGAUGUCUAACCUGGGUCCGUGAUCCGGAUCAGGGACAGUGUCUGGUGGGUAGUUUAACUGGGGCGGUUGCCUCCUAAAGAGUAACGGAGGCGCCCAAAGGUUCCCUCAGCCUGGUUGGUAAUCAGGUGUUGAGUGUAAGUGCACAAGGGAGCUUGACUGUGAGACUGACGGGUCGAGCAGGUACGAAAGUAGGGACUAGUGAUCCGGCGGUGGCUUGUGGAAGCGCCGUCGCUCAACGGAUAAAAGGUACCCCGGGGAUAACAGGCUGAUCUUCCCCAAGAGUCCAUAUCGACGGGAUGGUUUGGCACCUCGAUGUCGGCUCGUCGCAUCCUGGGGCUGGAGUCGGUCCCAAGGGUUGGGCUGUUCGCCCAUUAAAGCGGUACGCGAGCUGGGUUUAGAACGUCGUGAGACAGUUCGGUCCCUAUCCGCUGUGCGCGUAGGAGUCUUGAGAAGGGCUGUCCCUAGUACGAGAGGACCGGGACGGACGAACCUCUGGUGUGCCAGUUGUUCUGCCAAGGGCAUGGCUGGUUGGCUACGUUCGGAAAGGAUAACCGCUGAAAGCAUCUAAGCGGGAAGCCUGCUUCGAGAUGAGGGCUCCCUCCUCCUUGAGAGGGUAAGGCUCCCAGUAGACGACUGGGUUGAUAGGCCAGAUAUGGAAGCACUGUAAGGUGUGGAGUUGACUGGUACUAAUAGGCCGAGGGCUUGUCCUC
Molecule: ribosomal RNA, 3118 nt
Filed under: Streptomyces noursei
Lineage: Bacteria; Bacillati; Actinomycetota; Actinomycetes; Kitasatosporales; Streptomycetaceae
Description: 23S ribosomal RNA
Rfam family: Bacterial large subunit ribosomal RNA
Source: RNAcentral